ACACGAAUGAAAGUCAAGCUGAAAGACUUUACUCAAUGAUGUAAGUGGUGGUGCAUGGUCGUUCGUGGUUCGUGGAUUGAUUUGUCUGGUUAAUUCCGAUAACGAGCGAGACCCUAUCGUUCCUAAUAGGGGGCUACAGCCCGAUCGGCCGAAAGGCUGGUUAGCCGUAGCUUAAGAUUAACUUCUUAGACGUAUCAGAGCCGAUAAGGUUCUUGAAAUGGGUUAAUAACAGGUCAGUCAUGCCCUUAGAUGUUCUGGGCCGCACGCGCGUUACAAUGGCAUGUAAAGCGAGUGCUUAUCGAUAGGCUAUACCUGGAUCGAAAGGUCUUGGUAAUCCAUAAUCCCUGCCUUGACUGGGAUAGAUCAUUGCAAUUAUUGGUCUUAAACGAGGAAUUUUUAGUAAUAGCCAGGUCAUUAACCUGCGCUGA
RNAcentral lists this ribosomal RNA (428 nucleotides) under Badhamia panicea. Its description in RNAcentral is "SSU rRNA". It matches the Rfam family "Eukaryotic small subunit ribosomal RNA", at positions 1230 to 1644 of the family's 1831-position model. Lineage: Eukaryota; Evosea; Eumycetozoa; Physariida; Physaraceae. The record is from RNAcentral.